RNAcentral lists this ribosomal RNA (305 nucleotides) under uncultured bacterium. Its description in RNAcentral is "bacterial SSU rRNA". It matches the Rfam family "Bacterial small subunit ribosomal RNA", at positions 335 to 643 of the family's 1533-position model. The record is from RNAcentral.
GGCCUACGGGAGGCAGCAGUGGGGAAUAUUGCACAAUGGGGGAAACCCUGAUGCAGCGACGCCGCGUGAGUGAAGAAGUAUCUCGGUACGUAAAGCUCUAUCAGCAGGGAAGAAAAAAAGUCUUUGGCUUUGGACGGUACCUGACUAAGAAGCCCCGGCUAACUACGUGCCAGCAGCCGCGGUAAUACGUAGGGGGCAAGCGUUAUCCGGAUUUACUGGGUGUAAAGGGAGCGUAGACGGCCAGACAAGUCUGAAGUGAAAAUCCAGCGCUUAACGUUGGAAGUGCUUUGGAAACUGCCGGGCGA